GGUGCUUGAAAAGAUUCAAGUAUGGUAUAAAUCUCUCUUGAAUGAAUCUCAACAAUCUUAUCAUUAUCUCCUAACCCAAUAGAUGUAAUCAAUUCCAAUGAAUCUUCCAGUCCAUUUUCUUCAUAAACACCUAAAAUCCUCUCAUCAUCUUGCAAUGUACCUUACUUGCGUAAUUGUCCUUCAAUAUCAUAUAAUCUUUUUCUUUCUUUUCUUUUAAAAUCAUCAACUUUCUUAUACAUAAUAUUUCCAUUCUCCAAAAUAUCAAUAAAACUCGCAUCAAAGGCACCUUCAUCUCGCGAGAGUACCUCUUCUUUUGUACCUCCAUAAUCUC
RNAcentral lists this long non-coding RNA (331 nucleotides) under Physcomitrium patens. RNAcentral's name for it is "long non-coding RNA (PPAT_LNC012059)". Lineage: Eukaryota; Viridiplantae; Streptophyta; Bryopsida; Funariales; Funariaceae. The record is from RNAcentral.